ACGGGAGGCAGCAGUGGGGAAUAUUGCACAAUGGGGGAAACUCUGAUGCAGCGACGCCGCGUGAGUGAAGAAGUAUUUCGGUAUGUAAAGCUCUAUCAGCAGGGAAGAAAAUGACGGUACCUGACUAAGAAGCCCCGGCUAACUACGUGCCAGCAGCCGCGGUAAUACGUAGGGGGCAAGCGUUAUCCGGAUUUACUGGGUGUAAAGGGAGCGUAGACGGUAAUGCAAGUCAGAAGUGAAAGCCCAGGGCUCAACCUUGGGACUGCUUUUGAAACUGUAAUACUAGAGUGCAGGAGAGGUAAGUGGAAUUCCUAGUGUAGCGGUGAAAUGCGUAGAUAUUAGGAGGAACACCAGUGGCGAAGGCGGCUUACUGGACUGUAACUGACGUUGAGGCUCGAAAGCGUGGGGAGCAAACAGGAUUAGAUACCCUGGUA
This 434-nucleotide ribosomal RNA is filed under the name uncultured Clostridium sp. RNAcentral describes it as "partial 16S ribosomal RNA". It matches the Rfam family "Bacterial small subunit ribosomal RNA", at positions 341 to 792 of the family's 1533-position model. The record is from RNAcentral. Lineage: Bacteria; Bacillati; Bacillota; Clostridia; Eubacteriales; Clostridiaceae.